RNAcentral lists this ribosomal RNA (240 nucleotides) under uncultured bacterium. RNAcentral describes it as "partial 16S ribosomal RNA". It matches the Rfam family "Bacterial small subunit ribosomal RNA", at positions 15 to 245 of the family's 1533-position model. The record is from RNAcentral.
GAUCAUGGCUCAGGACGAACGCUGGCGGCGCGCCUAACACAUGCAAGUCGAACGAGAGAUGAGGAGCUUGCUCUUCAAAUCGAGUGGCGAACGGGUGAGUAACGCGUGAGGAACCUGCCUCAAAGAGGGGGGACAACAGUUGGAAACGACUGCUAAUACCGCAUAAGCCCACCGGCUCGGCGAUCGAGCAGAGGGAAAAAGGGAAGGCAAUCCGCUUGUAGAUGCGUCGCGUCCGCUAGU